Molecule: ribosomal RNA, 253 nt
Filed under: uncultured prokaryote
Description: partial 16S ribosomal RNA
Rfam family: Bacterial small subunit ribosomal RNA
Source: RNAcentral
ACGGAGGGUGCAAGCGUUAUCCGGAUUUACUGGGUUUAAAGGGUGCGCAGGCGGAUAUGUAAGUCAGUGGUGAAAUCUCUAGGCUUAACCUGGAAAUUGCCGUUGAUACUAUAUAUCUUGAAUGCUGUGGAGGUAAGCGGAAUAUGUCAUGUAGCGGUGAAAUGCUUAGAUAUGACAUAGAACACCUAUUGCGAAGGCAGCCCCCUGGGAUAACACUGACGCUCAUGCACGAAAGCGUGGGGAGCAAACAGGA